AUGGUGUCGCUAAAGCUGCAAAAGCACCAUGCCUCGAGCGUCCUCAAGUGCGGCAAGGACAAGGUUUGGAUCGACCCCAAUGAGAUCUGGGAGUUUGAACAAUUCACCAAGAGAAGCCAGUACAUGUAUAACAGAAUGGGUGGAAUUUAUCAUGAGAUCCUACCCAAAUCUGAGUACUUCUCCAAGGCACUGUACACCUUCCAUUUUGCCCAAAACGAUCUCACCUUGGGCUACCUCAUCAAUAAGACUACCAAACAGAUUGAGGCCUAUGACCCCAAUCCGAAGGAGCGGUUCACUGUGGCAAUGCAGAUUAGAUUUUCUGUAGAAUCCAAAUAA
Molecule: ribosomal RNA, 336 nt
Filed under: Triticum aestivum (bread wheat)
Lineage: Eukaryota; Viridiplantae; Streptophyta; Magnoliopsida; Poales; Poaceae
Description: partial small subunit ribosomal RNA
Source: RNAcentral